UUUAUUGUAGACGCCUUAUAUGUGUAGACAUAUGGCGGGUCUGGGCACGCAACCGGGAGGGCCUCCGCCGGUCCCGGGGCGUGACAGCUCCCCACCCGGAAGCUUUGUUUUUAAAACUCUAAUUCAAACAUUCACGAAAACCAUGCAAAAACUAUUUUAAAACUGUUUCCCAUAUGAAAACUCUAUUUUGAAAAUCGACUACCUCGAGGGGUAGAAAACCACGAUGCGGAAAUCCAUAAAUACGAGAACCAAAAACCACAGAUCUGAAAACUCCAAUCUCAUGCAUCAUAGUAAAUCAUCCACUAAAACCAAUUCACGAAUAUUCAAACAUCAAUACGAUCAUCUAACUGAACCAUUUAUUAUUAAAACUACUAAGUGCCUGUAAGGAA
This 389-nucleotide long non-coding RNA is filed under the name Ananas comosus (pineapple). RNAcentral's name for it is "long non-coding RNA (ACOM_LNC035483)". Lineage: Eukaryota; Viridiplantae; Streptophyta; Magnoliopsida; Poales; Bromeliaceae. The record is from RNAcentral.